GCCCCGUUCGUCUAGUGGCCUAGGACGCUGGCCUCUCACGCCGGUAACACGGGUUCGAAUCCCGUACGGGGUACAA
RNAcentral lists this transfer RNA (76 nucleotides) under Corynebacterium phocae. Its description in RNAcentral is "tRNA-Glu". It matches the Rfam family "tRNA". Rfam says of the family: Transfer RNA (tRNA) molecules are approximately 80 nucleotides in length. Their secondary structure includes four short double-helical elements and three loops (D, anti-codon, and T loops). The record is from RNAcentral. Lineage: Bacteria; Bacillati; Actinomycetota; Actinomycetes; Mycobacteriales; Corynebacteriaceae.